This 336-nucleotide long non-coding RNA is filed under the name Coffea arabica (coffee). RNAcentral's name for it is "long non-coding RNA (CARA_LNC000787)". Lineage: Eukaryota; Viridiplantae; Streptophyta; Magnoliopsida; Gentianales; Rubiaceae. The record is from RNAcentral.
ACCUCACCGCCAUUAGUUUAUCUUCCCCCAAAGUUAAAAAAGUAGUGCUAAUACCAACAGAAUCUUCUGGUAACCGCAGAGUGAAACAACUAGCUCAGAGUACGAUGUCUGCAUCUUGCUAUUUCCUUUUUCUUCUUUGUUGUGCCAGAGUGAAUUGAUGACGGGGUGAUGCAAUUACAAUUGGUGCAUUUCAGCAAAUCAGCACAAUCGCUUUAUUCCCUUGUUUUUCUUUUCUUUUCUUUUAUCAUGGCAUUAUCCGAAGAGGAGAGAAAAGGGAGAUGAUGAUGAUAGCUAGGUUCAGGGUUGGCAAAAUCGUUGAUGCAUAUUUAAUAUGAU